UACGGGGGGAGCAAGCGUUUGUUCGGAUUUACUGGGCGUAAAGGGCGCGUAGGCGGUCAGCACAAGUCAGUUGUGAAAUCUCCGGGCUUAACUCGGAAAGGUCAACUGAUACUGUGCGACUAGAGUGCGGAAGGGGCAACUGGAAUUCUCGGUGUAGCGGUGAAAUGCGUAGAUAUCAGGAGGAACACCGGUGGCGAAGGCGGCUCUCUGGACCACAACUGACGCUGAGGCGCGAAAGCUAGGGGAGCAAACAGG
This 255-nucleotide ribosomal RNA is filed under the name uncultured bacterium. RNAcentral's name for it is "partial 16S ribosomal RNA". It matches the Rfam family "Bacterial small subunit ribosomal RNA", at positions 524 to 776 of the family's 1533-position model. The record is from RNAcentral.